AACGAACGCUGGCGGCAUGCCUAACACAUGCAAGUCGAACGAGACCUUCGGGUCUAGUGGCGCACGGGUGCGUAACGCGUGGGAACCUGCCCUUAGGUUCGGAAUAACUCUCCGAAAGGGGUGCUAAUACCGGAUAAUGUCUUCGGACCAAAGAUUUAUCGCCUUUGGAUGGGCCCGCGUUGGUUUAGCUAGUUGGUAGGGUAAAAGCCUACCAAGGCUACGAUCCAUAGCUGGUCUGAGAGGAUGAUCAGCCACACUGGGACUGAGACACGGCCCAGACUCCUACGGGAGGCAGCAGUGGGGAAUAUUGGACAAUGGGCGAAGGCCUGAUCCAGCAAUACCGCGUGAGUGAUGAAGGCCUUAGGGUUGUAAAGCUCUUUUACCCGGGAUGAUAAUGACAGUACCGGGAGAAUAAGCUCCGGCUAACUCCGUG
This 433-nucleotide ribosomal RNA is filed under the name uncultured bacterium. Its description in RNAcentral is "partial 16S ribosomal RNA". It matches the Rfam family "Bacterial small subunit ribosomal RNA", at positions 29 to 507 of the family's 1533-position model. The record is from RNAcentral.